UCUGGUAAUGAUGGCAGAGAGGUCACACCCGUUCCCAUACCGAACACGGAAGUUAAGCUCUCUAGCGCCGAUGGUAGUUGGGACCUUGUCCCUGUGAGGUGAGAGUAGGACGUUGCCAGGC
Molecule: ribosomal RNA, 121 nt
Filed under: Bacillus thuringiensis serovar aizawai
Lineage: Bacteria; Bacillati; Bacillota; Bacilli; Caryophanales; Bacillaceae
Source: RNAcentral